UCUUCUCUACCGAACUCUUCACAGCCGAAACUUUACUCCAAGAAAACCAUUUUCUUCCUCAUCUCUCCAAUCCAUUUGCUAUAUCACGAAGUGAUCUUUAUGAACCAAAAUUCUUUUACUCUUCAUCUCACAAAUCCAUCUGCUAUCCCACAUAAAUCAACAGAUAUUCAUGAACCAAAACAAUUAACAGAUCUACUCCAUGUAUUGAUGAUUCUUGUUCUGCUUUGGUAUUAUCUAGAUCCGUAAAUUCUCAUAUAGAAAAAGAACUAAUUUUGCUAGCCUUUUUUUUCAUGAACUCUGAUUUGCUACAGGGGUUUUGUUUAGUAUUCAUAAACUCUGAAAUUGAUCAACGAUUUGCUUCAACUGCAAUCACACAAACAAAUUACCAAUUCAAACUUCUUCAAAUAAUACAAUGAAUCGUUUGAUUUUAUGAAAUUGGAUCAAAAAAUAAACAGAGAAAAACCAGAGUUGGGUUUUGUUCUGAUUUUUAGGAUGAUAAUGGAACUACUUCAGGGAAUUGAUGCAAUUGGAAAUGAUAGUUUGAUUCUGUUCUAAGUGUUUUCAUAAUAAUACUGAUUUAGCUUUAAAAAGUUUUUGAUAGAAUGGAGGAGCAGUUCACAGGCGGGUAUGUGAGCAAUUGAACUUGCUCAGAUGUUGUUUGAUGAAAAAAGCCUGAGAAGGAUUUUUUUAUUGCACUAUUGUAAUCGAUGGGUACUAGGCGUGGAAAGGUGGUAUUAUCCAUGCUUUGUGUUUUAGUCCAAAUGUUCUAGUGGAUACAUGAACAUAUAAGGAAGAGUGCAGCUGAUUGUAAAUGUGUGUGUUUAGAGAAAUCAUUUGAAGUGCACUGCAUACCUUGUGGAUUGUAUUAUCCAACUGUGUGCAUGUGAGGGAAAGCUGCAAUUUAGCUAUUCGAGGCAAUGCAGAAACUUAUAAUGAUUAGCACCAGAUCGGACCACAACUGCAGAUUUGCUUAGUGCAUCUCCUCCGAAAGGUCUGAUAAGAAGUUAUCUUGAUGUCUCUUGCUUACUUUUGGGGCUUAAUGGCUUAUAUAGCAAUGGGAGACAUGACGACAUGAAAAUUUUUUGUUUGGCUAUUAUCAUACAAGCUAUUACAAGUCUAUGUUGUCGUUGGCCCCCCACCGUGCAAGCGGUCAUCUAGUCUUAACUAUACUUGGGAUGAAAGAAAAAACAGUCUCCCGUAGCAAAGUUCCAUAUGUGGUUGGUCUGAUGCAGGCAUUUGCUUUUUUCCAAGUGACAUCCUAUCGGCAGAAUUUGGAGUAGCUCUUGCGGUGUGAGCGCACAAGAUUCUUCAGUAAACAAGACCUCAAGUAGGCGCGCAAAAGCAAGGGCAUAUGUCCUCCAAAACUUCGUUGGAGGCUUCCCUUCCCGCUCUUUUAUGCUAACGUGUGUACAUGUUCUGAUCACCAUGAAGUAAAGCCUGCAUAUUGUGAAUAAAUCAGAAAGUUGUUGAAAUUUAAGUUGCAAGGGUGCAAGAUGAAUCUAAAGUGAUGACCGCAGAGAGUGGAACGUAACUUGGGAUGGCUCCUGAGGUAAGCAUUGUUAGUGUUCUCUUCUAGUUUCCUGCUGUAGCCACAAGGCUCAUAACUUUCAGUCUUUUCAGACAGGAACUUAUGUUACUACAUUGCGUUUUUCAAAAUUCUAACAUGAAAAAGCGGGGGUCUAACGACCACAUCCAAUAUUUCCAAUAUACUUUCUAGA
This is a long non-coding RNA of Papaver somniferum (opium poppy), 1718 nucleotides long. RefSeq lists it as uncharacterized. NCBI's taxonomy places the organism in Eukaryota, Viridiplantae, Streptophyta, Magnoliopsida, Ranunculales, Papaveraceae. The record is from RefSeq and is a predicted model, not a curated record. The transcript is spliced from 8 exons.